GUUUUAAUAGUUUAACAAAAACGUUGGUCUUGUAAGUCAAAAAUAAGAUAAUUCUUUUAAAACU
RNAcentral lists this transfer RNA (64 nucleotides) under Desmomyia sinensis. RNAcentral describes it as "tRNA-Thr". It matches the Rfam family "tRNA". From Rfam's summary of the family: Transfer RNA (tRNA) molecules are approximately 80 nucleotides in length. Their secondary structure includes four short double-helical elements and three loops (D, anti-codon, and T loops). The record is from RNAcentral. Lineage: Eukaryota; Metazoa; Arthropoda; Insecta; Diptera; Rhagionidae.